This 1118-nucleotide ribosomal RNA is filed under the name Acidobacteriota bacterium. RNAcentral's name for it is "bacterial LSU rRNA". It matches the Rfam family "Bacterial large subunit ribosomal RNA", at positions 1832 to 2925 of the family's 2925-position model. The record is from RNAcentral. Lineage: Bacteria; Pseudomonadati; Acidobacteriota.
CAUCUGCAACGGGAAGGGCUGAUCCAGAUCAUCGAUAUUGCGAUGACGAUGAACGCGGCUCGUCGUCCCGUUCUGGAGAAGAUCCGGCGCGAAAUAGAGGUCGGAUAAAGAGAUGGUCCACCCCUGCUGGAAACAGUGGGAUGAAGGUGAGCGAAAUUCCUUGUCGGGUAAGUUCCGACCUGCACGAAUGGCGUAACGACUAGGCGACUGUCUUAACGAGCUGCACAGCGAACUUGUGGUCCCGGUGAAGACGCCGGGUGCCCGCACCAAGACGGAAAGACCCCGUGAACCUUAACUACAGCCUGUCAGUGAAGCUGGGUGUUGCCUGCGUAGGAUAGGUGGGAGGCUAUGAAGCCUGGCUUGCGGGCUGGGUGGAGCCGCCGGUGAAAUACCACCCUGGUUUCACUUGGCUUCUAACCUGCGGCCCUGAAGCGGGUCGAGGGACCCUGGCAGGUGGGUAGUUUGACUGGGGCGGUCGCCUCCUAAAAGGUAACGGAGGCGCGCGAAGGUUGGCUCAAGGCGUUUGGAAAUCGCCUGUAGAGUGCAAGGGCAUAAGCCAGCCUGACUGCGAGACAGACACGUCGAGCAGAGACGAAAGUCGGCCCUAGUGAUCCGGUGGUCCCGCGUGGAAGGGCCAUCGCUCAACGGAUAAAAGGUACUCCGGGGAUAACAGGCUUAUCGGAGCCAAGAGUUCACAUCGACGCUCCGGUUUGGCACCUCGAUGUCGGCUCAUCGCAUCCUGGGGCUGAAGAAGGUCCCAAGGGUUGGUCUGUUCGCCCAUUAAAGCGGUACGUGAGCUGGGUUUAGAACGUCGCGAGACAGUUCGGUCCCUAUCUGGUGUGGGCGCAGGAGGUUUGAGGGAGGCUGGCCUUAGUACGAGAGGACCAGGCUGGACUGACCUCUGGUGUACCGGUUGUCGCGCCAGCGGCAGCGCCGGGUAGCUAAGUCAGGCAGGGAUAACCGCUGAAGGCAUCUAAGCGGGAAGCCCGUCCCAAGAUGAGACCUCCUCGCUGGUUAACAGGUUAGGCCCCUGGAAGACGACCAGGUUGAUAGGCCGGGUGUGUAAGCGCGGUAACGCGUUGAGCUAACCGGUACUAAUCGGCCGAGCGCUUGACCAC